AUUUGCGGCCAAGCUACGAAGGGUGUAUGGUGGAUGUCUUGGCGCCAAAAGUCGAAGAAGGACGUUGCAGGCUGCGAUAAGCUCCGGGAAGCUGCCAAGCAAGCCUUGAUCCGGAGAUGUCCGAAUGGGGAAACCCGUCCUGAGCAAUCGGGACAUCUGCGUCUGAAUCCAUAGGGCGCAGAAGACAACGGAGGGAAGUGACACAUCUCAGUACCUCCAGGAGAAGAGAAAGGGAAUUGACUUCCUUAGUAGCGGCGAGCGAAAAGGAACCAGCCCAAACCGAAUCCGCGUGAUAGCCCUGCGCGUUGCGGGUUCGGGGUAGCGGGAAGCGCAUUCGACGGCGAGCAGGAGCCGUCGGAGGAGUUACAAAGGCCAAUUCUAGCUGAACGUUUCUGGAAAGUCCGGCCACAGAGGGUGACAGCCCCGUAGGCGAAAGAAACGGCCCUCCUUUUGCGUUCUCCCAAGUAUUGCCAGUCUCGUGAAACCUGGCAUGAAUCCGGCCUGACCACGGGCUAAGGCUAAGUACUCAUUGGCGACCGAUAUCGCACAAGUAGCGCGAGCGAAAGAUGAAAAGUACCCCUGUUAGGGGAGUGAAAUAGUACCUGAAACCAUGCACUUACAAGCUGUCGGAGCCCUAUGCCCCGAGGCAACUCGGGGAACGGGUGACGGCGUGCCUGUUGAAAAAUGAACCGGCGAGUUACCGUACGUUGCGAGGCUAAUCCGCUCAGCGGAGCAGCCGCAGCGAAAGCGAGUGCGAAACGCGCGACCAGUAAUGUGCGGUAAACCCGAAACGACGUGAUCUACCCUUGGCCAGGGCGAAGUUCACCGAAAGGUGGAUGGAGGCCCGAACGCACUUGCGUUGAAAAGCGAGGCGAUGAGCUGAGGGUAGGAGUAAAAGGCUAAUCAAACGUCGUGAUAUCUGGUUCUCCCCGAAAUAGCUUUAGGGCUAGCCUUGUGUGAUCCGCAGCGGUGGUAGAGCACUGAAUGAGUUUUGGGGUCCACCAGACUACCGAACUCAAUCAAACUCCGAAUACCGCUGUGUGCAACACAGGAGUCAGACGGUGGGGGAUAAACUCCAUCGUCAAAAGGGAAACAGCCCAGACUGCCAGCUAAGGCCCCUAAAAGAGCCUAAGUGCUCAAAGGAAGUGAGAGCGCUAGGACAGCUAGGAUGUUGGCUUAGAAGCAGCCAUCAUUUAAAAAGUGCGUAACAGCUUACUAGUCGAGCGCUUUCGCGCCGAUAAUACUCGGGACUAAGGCUCUUGCCGAAGCUGCGGACGUUCGGUCACCUGUCUGCCAGGGUCCAGUGGGCGGAUUGGCGAACAGGCGAACUUGCGAAUGAGCGGACGAAACCCCAUUCGCAGAUUCGCUGAUUCGCGUAUUCGCAUAUUCGCUCACUCGAUCCUGGCAGCGGAGGACCGAGCAUGGUAGGGGAGCGUUCUACAUCAGGUUGAAGGCAGACCGUGAGGACUGCUGGACGAAGUAGAAGUGCUUAUGCCGGUACGAGUAGCGAUAAGGUGGGUGAGAAUCCCACCAGCCGAAAGCCUAAGGUUUCCUGGGGAAGGUAAAUCCGCCCAGGGUUAGUCGGGACCUAAGUCGAGGCUGAAAGGCGUAGACGAUGGACAGCAGGUUAAUAUUCCUGCACCGCCUGCGUAGCGUCCGAACAGAAGAGGUGACGGAGACGCGAGGACCAUGCCGGGUUGCUAGUGUGUCCCGCCUCUGGCCCGAGGGCGCGCUGUAGGGAAAUCCGCAGCGCUGCCGCUCACGGCGAAUUGAAACGCCCGGAGGUCGGAGUGAGCCCAUCAGGGCAAAAUGGUCUGACCGUCUUCCACGAAAAGCCCCGUCUGUGAGCGAAACAGGCGCCCGUACUAAAACUGACACAGGUAGGCGAGGAGAAUAUCCUCAGGCUCUCGAGAGAACCCUCGUUAAGGAACUCGGCAAAUUAGCUCCGUAACUUCGGGAUAAGGAGCGCCUUCUCAAACGCGUUGAUCACUCGAUGCGGGCGAGGAGGCCGCAGAGAAAUGGCCCAGGCGACUGUUUACUAAAAACACAGGUCUGUGCGAAGACUUACGUCGCAGUAUACAGACUGACGCGUGCUCGAUGCCAGAAAGUUAAGGGAAGGGGUUAUCCGCCGCAAGGCGGAGAAGCUCUGAACCGAAGCUCUGGUGAAUGGCGGCCGUAACUAUGACGGUCCUAAGGUAGUAGCAUGCUGCCUGCCCCGACGGCAACGUCGGGGGCAAUACCUGGCUAUAUGCGGGAACGGCCUUAGAGCCCAACCUACGAGUCGCUCACUGGCGACCGUAACAAUGGAAGGGAUUGGCCAAUCCGCAGGAAACCCUGGUCAACUCCAGGGGAUCCUCAGAGACCACACGCCAGGUAUCCGCCUGGAGAUGCUCAUGGACCUCAGUCCAGAGUGGGUCGUGGGGUUCGUGGACGGCGAAGGUUGCUUCCACGUCAGCCUUCAAGCGCACCCUGAGAUGACCGCGGGCUACCAAGUCGUGCCCGAGUUCGUGGUUGUCCAACACGUUCGAGACGUGCAAGUGCUGCACGCGCUCAAGCGAUUCUUCCGAUGCGGCGUCGUUCGGCUGAAUCACGAAGAUCGCUGGGCGUUCCGAGUGCGAAGGCUCGACAAUCUCAAUCAAAUCUGCGCCUUCUUCGAAAACCACCCGCUCAAGACGAAGAAGCACACGGACUUUCAGAAGUUCCGAACCAUUCUUCGUCUCAUGAGCGAGAAACGACACCUCACACGGGCUGGGCUGGUCGAGAUCGCCGAUAUAGCGCUCUCGAUGAACACAGCCAGCCGCCCCGUGCUGGAAAAGGUCCGGGAGCAGCUCCAGGCCGGAUAAAGAUAUGGUCCACACCGGCGGGAAACCGACGGGCCAAUGUGAGCGAAGUUCCUUGUCGGGUAAGUUCCGACCUGCAUGAAUCGCGUAACGACUUGGGCUCUGUCUCAACGAGGGACUCGGCGAAACUGUAGUAGUGGUCAAGAUGCCACCUACCCGCGCCAAGACGAAAAGACCCCGUGAACCUUUACUGCACCCUACUAUUGGGUUUUGGCCUGACAUGUGUAGGAUAGGUGGGAGACGAUGAAGCUCCGGCGCUAGCUGGAGCAGAGUCAACCUUGAAAUACCACCCUUGUUACGUUAAAAUUCUAACCAGGUUCCGUGAAUCCGGACUUGGGACAUUGGUAGGCGGGCAGUUUAACUGGGGCGGUUUCCUCCCAAAAUGUAACGGAGGAGUCCAAAGGCUUCCUCAGUGCGGUUGGCAAUCGCACGAAGAGCGUAAGGGUACAAGGAAGCUUAACUGCGAGACCCAAUGCGUCAAGCAGGUGUGAAAGCAGGGCCUAGUGAUCCGGCGGAUUCCAUGUGGAAGGGCCGUCGCUCAACAGAUAAAAGGUACUCUGGGGAUAACAGGCUGAUCGCUCCCGAGCGUCCAUAGCGGCGGAGCGGUUUGGCACCUCGAUGUCGACUCAUCGCAUCCUGGAGCUGGAGAAGGUUCCAAGGGUUCGGCUGUUCGCCGAUUAAAGCGGUACGUGAGUUGGGUUUAGACCGUCGUGAGACAGGUCGGUCUCUAUCUGGCGUGGGUGCACGAUACCUGCGGGUUUCUACCUUCAGUACGAGAGGACCAUGGUAGACGGACCUAUGGUGUAUCAGUUGUCCUGCUAAGGGCACGGCUGAGUAGCUACGUCCGGAACGGAUAAACGCUGAAAGCAUAUAAGCGUGAAGCCCCAUCCAAGACUGGGUAUCGAGAUUGAUCCGCGGGCGCCGCAAGGCGUCCAACGAUCCGAGAGGCACCUCGUAGACUACGAGGUUGAUAGGCCAGAGGUGUAAGUCCGGUAACGGAUUGAGCUGACUGGUACUAAUUGGCCGAAUGCUUGGCCGCAUUU
Molecule: ribosomal RNA, 3883 nt
Filed under: Planctomycetota bacterium
Lineage: Bacteria; Pseudomonadati; Planctomycetota
Description: Planctomycetes bacterium (freshwater metagenome) 23S ribosomal RNA
Rfam family: Bacterial large subunit ribosomal RNA
Source: RNAcentral